This 253-nucleotide ribosomal RNA is filed under the name uncultured bacterium. Its description in RNAcentral is "partial 16S ribosomal RNA". It matches the Rfam family "Bacterial small subunit ribosomal RNA", at positions 524 to 776 of the family's 1533-position model. The record is from RNAcentral.
UACAGAGGUCCCAAGCGUUGUUCGGAUUCAUUGGGCGUAAAGGGUGCGUAGGCGGCGCGGUAAGUCGGGUGUGAAAUCUCGGGGCUUAACUCCGAAACUGCAUUCGAUACUGCCGUGCUUGAGGACUGGAGAGGAGACUGGAAUUUACGGUGUAGCGGUGAAAUGCGUAGAUAUCGUAAGGAAGACCAGUGGCGAAGGCGGGUCUCUGGACAGUUCCUGACGCUGAGGCACGAAGGCCAGGGGAGCGAACGGG